AUGGCCAAGAUCAUGUCACCUAUCUACUCUGAAACGCUUAUCCAAGAUAUCAGCACAAUGUCGGCAUGGCAAGAUUUGGUAAAUGGGGGGUUCAGAGUGGUGCACCGGCUCAUCCGUGCUACUGAGUGGACUGGCAGAAGGCUGGCCCAUGAAAUCUCUUGUAGCGAGCAGGCUGUGAGCAACCUUGAGAGGAUUCUUGAUCAAGGCAGCACAGCUAGCCAAACACUGCAGAUUCAGGCUAUAGAGAUACUGACAGAAUUGGCUUUGGAUCCGCCUAUCAAUCUCGCCACGGAAACAAAAGAAAAACUGAUUAAUAAGCAGUUGAAGGUCUUCCUUAAUGAAGGGACAGAAGAAAACCUUAAAGUUACGGCUGGGAAAACACUGGCAUUAUUAUCCAAGACAGCAACUAUCUCUGUGUGCAUAAUGAGCAAAUACAAUAACAUUGCUGAUCAAGUCACUGAAAUGCUUGAUGCUAAGAACAAGAUCAUUUACAGAACAAUAGCAGCUGAGAUCUUGGAGAAUUUGUGUACUCACCAUGCAAUGGACACGGAACACGUGAGGGACACCUUGCUGCCAAAGGUGCUAACAGAAGUUCUAACCAGUAAAAAGAAACCCCCAUCGGAAGCAUCUCAAAGGCAGUUUCCUUGGUGGGCUAGGUUACUAAUGCGAAGGCAUCUAUCUGUAGAACAACGUCGUAAAAGAAAAUCCAAAGCAUCAGGAGAUGUUGACGAAAAUCCACAGCAAGACGACGAAGAAAAUCAACAUUUCGAACAUAAUAGCCAAAUCAAUUUAUCCGAGCAAAAGGAGACGCAUACAGCUACGAUGGAAUUGAAGGAAGCAUUGUUAUCCCUUACUUUGGUGAUAUGUGACAAACUGAUAAUUAGCGCAGACGACUUUGAUGAUGUGGCUCGGAAUGUUUCCUCGGGAGAAGGUCAAUUUGUGGCGAAGCUCAAAACUGUAGUAGAAGAGAACUGUGAAGCCACCGCUAAUAGCCUGAGAAUCGUAAGCUUUGCGGUCAGAUUGCUGUUACAGUGA
Molecule: ribosomal RNA, 1035 nt
Filed under: Triticum aestivum (bread wheat)
Lineage: Eukaryota; Viridiplantae; Streptophyta; Magnoliopsida; Poales; Poaceae
Description: partial small subunit ribosomal RNA
Source: RNAcentral